Musa acuminata AAA Group (dessert banana) is the source of this 3187-nucleotide long non-coding RNA. RefSeq lists it as uncharacterized. The record is from RefSeq and is a predicted model, not a curated record. The transcript has 2 exons. NCBI's taxonomy places the organism in Eukaryota, Viridiplantae, Streptophyta, Magnoliopsida, Zingiberales, Musaceae.
UUGAAGCAAUUUCCAUGGAAACUGGGUUGGGAUGGUAUGUGGGUCAUGUAAAGAACAUGUGUAAGUUGCAGUGGGACUAUUCAGCUGCUAAUUGUCAACACAUCUACUUCCCUACACUAUCAUCUUCAGUUCAUCUGGUCCUGAUGGUCAUCAUGCUUCAUAUGGCACUCCAGACAAAAAAUGUGGAAUCAUAAGAGAAUUGAGGCACACUGCUGGGAUUUUUAUGCAAAUGAUUCAUAUAGCUGGAAAUAGUGCAAAGUCCACAAGCUAGUGUUUGUCACUGCAUGGUGUACAGUUUCUUUUAGUCGAACUGAGAUGUCAGAUAUGAGAUGAGGUAAUAUCUUGACUUGUUUCUGAUGGUUCUUCAUUGCUUAGUAAAAUGUCAGGCAACAGCAGCACAGGGGAAAGAAAGCAGCAGCAUACAUCGAGCUACAAGGUGAAGGUAAACUUGCAGCAUAAAAGAUAUUGACGCCUUCGUCUUCUUGUGGCGGUUUCAUUUCCCUGUUGGUGUGCUCCUUCCAUCCAGGCAAAGUGGUCACAGUCGUCACCGAUCCACCACAUCCGUCGUCAUGCAUCUGCUACCAAAGUUGGGACAUUCAACUCACCAUGGGCGAGCCAAGACGAUGGGAACUGUUCCUGAUAAGAUCACGGUCGCCAUUACAACAAGCUUAUGAGUCCCUCCCUUUUCCGCAGCCCCAAGCGUCAGCCUUGGCACAAAAACCAAGACGUGACCGCCCGCUCCCAUGAUUUCCCAUCACCAGAAAAGAACCCAAACCCCGCACUGCACUCCCACCACACCCGUCUCAUUUCGCUUUCCUCCCUCGCAGACUUCCCCACCCGUGCCUUUGCCUGCCACCACAUGAAUUGAUAGCUUUCGCGUCCCCCAAUCCCACUCCACUGCCAAAACAAAAGCGAAGCCACAGAAAACGUACACAACAAACCAAAAAGAAAGCAGAGUCCCCUGUGCCGCCGGCGCCACCUCCUCACCGCAGCCACCGCCGGAGGUCCGUCGUCGAGGACGGGGACGCUUCGCCCACGAGGCUGUCGUUGCAGGACGAGGACACGUUGGAGCGGGGCUCCCCGGCGAACCUCGCCGCCGCGCUCUUGAAGCUCGGGCUCCGCAGGUUCUCCGGCUCCGGGAACGAGAGGCGCUUCUUGGCGGAGCUGGCCCGAUCCCGGUCCGGCGUCCCGGGUCGCUGUCGCGGUGCGCUCUGCGACCGCAGCCGCGCCUUGGCGGACUCCGUCGCCGCCAUGUAGUUCGGCACCGACGCCGCGGGGUGGUAGGUCGGCGUCUGGGCGGUGGAGAUGCUCCUGUGGUCCUGCCGGCCGCAGCGGGGACUGGCGGAGCGGACUUGCAAAGGUCGCAUCUCGGAGGGCGAGGGCGUGGUGGGCGAGUGGGUCUGGUGUCGUUGGUGGUGACCGCGGUGGAGCGGGACGGGCUGCGGGGACGGCGGCGUCUGGCGGCGAGGGUUGGCGGGGGCGGAGUAAGAGUAGGGUCGAGCGGUGUCGAUCUCCAAGGUCUUGAUGGGAUCCCGAUAGCCAACGGAGGCUCGCGCCCUGCUGCUGGCUCUGUUGUCAAAAGAGGACCUUGAGGCGAUCCAGCGAUCCAUCCACCGGCUCGGUCUCUGCUCUCCCGCCGAAGCCACCUCGCCGUCCACGUCUUCGUCGAGAAGGCGCGACGAGCUCCGAUCCGAUCUCAAGAGCUUUCCGAUAGAUAGACCGGAGACUUGAUGUCAGUCGUAUAUACAUCACAGAGGAAAGCAGGCGGCGGGGGAGAAAUAAGCGUGUUCGGAGCUCACUUUUUGAGAGAAGGCAUAGGAGAGCGCCCUCUCUCGUCUGAGAGCAGCAUCCUUCCGGCGUUGCAACGUCGCUUGUAUCUCGUCCAUCGUUCUCGGGCGGUCGUCCCAAUCAUCAGCAAAGCUACUCCCAUCUCUCGACUGUUUGUUCCACCAUUAAAGAGAGAAGAAAAAGAUAGGACAAAUCCACACGAUGAGCAAAGAAGAAACCAACGAGGAAGACGAAGGAUGUGUUACCAUGGAUCUUCUCUCCGCGAGCUCCUGGAGGUACUUGGAGUCCCAGAAAGAGGUGUCGCAGCUGAAGGAGGACAUGUUGCUACCUCGAGAAACCGCCGCCGCCGACUCUUGGGCGAGCCGCAUGCGCUGUUCUCUCACCCUCGCCUGUGCUCUCACCAGAGCUUGCAUGCACCGCAGCGUCAUGUUCGCUUGCUUCCGGACGUUGUGACCCCUCACCAAGGCCUGCAGCUUUACCAGCCCCUUCAAAGCCCGCAGUGCCCUCCUCGCCUUCACCACCACCCCGAAACCCAAAUCCACUUUAGAACCAUCCCUGAACUCAAGAAGACGAAGAACCUAAACAAGAGGUGAGGUACCAAGUAUCCUCGAAAGGCGGUUUGGAUGACGACGGCGGCGUAAUGCUCCUUGACGAAGCUCGCAGAAGGCCUGGUGAGGCGCACCACCUCCGCCGCCGCCUGCGCCGUCGCUACCGCCGCCUCUGCCGUCGCUGCGGAGGCCACGGCAAGGGCAAUAGCGUGCCUUUCCUCCGGCGUGACUACCGUCGGCGCCCUCGCCUGCUGCUGUUGCUCGAGCGUUGACGGCUUCCGGAACAUCCAUCUCCUCUUCUCCCUCUUCCGCUACCAGAAGACGAAGUCACGAAAGAAAGGAAAGGUGAAGGUGACCCAUUAGAAACACCGAAAGCAGACGAGGGAGGAAGCACAACACUCUCACCUUCUCUUCUUCCUCUCCUUGUCCCGAGGUCUUCCUCUCGGAGUCCUUAGACGGCGACAUAAACGCCCGUUUGACCGCCGUCAGCCAAGAGCUGCUCCCCUUCCUUCCCAUGACACCCUACUCCCUUCUUCGCACCGUUACCCAACGAUUCUCCAACCGCAACAGUAAAGGCGAAGGAGGAGGAGGAGAAAGGCAGAACUCCGCUUUCACCCGUCCAUGUCGGAAGGAAUCUUUUAUCAAAGGUGACAGUCUUCCGGCUUUGGCUUUGGGCACAGUAACUUGACUCGCUUCACGAAGCCAGUCACAGUGAAUGAGCUCCGGAUGUCUCCUCAGGCCCUACAGCUUCCUGCUGCGUGAAUCCCUGUUGGGGGCAGAGAGAGGCUAACCUUCUUUUGCGCCCAUGUAAACUGGAUUUUGGCGGAUAUUUCUCUCUAUAUUUAUAUUUA